AGGAACAAAAAAGAGAAAGAUUGCAGCAACAAAAUAUUCAGUCCCAAUCAGUACAAGAAUAUUACAUAUCUCAUGGUUUUGUUAUAAGUUAUUAUCCCAGAAAACCAAAAUAAAAUAAAAUAAAAUAAAAGCAGUGGCUGAUGUAUGCCUGGACUUCCCCAUGUAUGCCACCGAGAUUCCUCCUUGCUUCUUCUUACAUCAUCUCCAUGCCUUACAUUUUUCAACUCUUGAAGCGCAGCCCAAGUUUAUAAAGAUAUAGGAAAGUUGAGGAUGUUUCAAACAAGACAUCCCUA
RNAcentral lists this long non-coding RNA (293 nucleotides) under Gossypium barbadense (sea-island cotton). RNAcentral describes it as "long non-coding RNA (GBAR_LNC008447)". Lineage: Eukaryota; Viridiplantae; Streptophyta; Magnoliopsida; Malvales; Malvaceae. The record is from RNAcentral.